AGAAACGAUUAUAACAUUGGCUUCAGUUGCUACCAAAUUAAGAUGCUUGUGGUAUGAAGUUGAAGAAGCAGAUUCAAUCACAAAGCCGCCGCCGUGAAAGUAGACGAAAAGGGAAAUUUUUUGAACCGGGUUCGAGAUUUUUGGGCAGGUAAAGUCUUGCUGAUAGAUUAAUUGUUGGAUCAAUUUGGACAUCUUUGAUUUGGACUCCGGUUUCAGGAUCCAAUUCAGCUGGGACAACGCCUUCGCCCAUCAGCCUCUCGAUUCGGCCAUCUUUGUAAACUCUGAUCAAUGGGAAAAGGUCAUGUUGUAUUUCCGCCAUUGCUGAAAGCUAAGUUGCAGAGGAAGGUUUGGUAUACCAUGCUCUCAAGUGCUGUGACAGGUACUUUUAAAAGCAAAUAUUUGGUACUCUUUUAGUUGUUUGCCUACAUGUUUGUUCCAAUUAGAAGACUUAACAAAUUGUUUGUUUAGUUCUUUUUUUAAAAUAAAAUAAAAUAAAUAUAUUUAGAAAAAGUACUAUAAAUAAUAGAAAUAUUUUAUGAAAUACAAGAAAAUUGUAGUGAAACAACACUGAACA
RNAcentral lists this long non-coding RNA (574 nucleotides) under Nicotiana tabacum (common tobacco). Its description in RNAcentral is "long non-coding RNA (NTAB_LNC019111)". Lineage: Eukaryota; Viridiplantae; Streptophyta; Magnoliopsida; Solanales; Solanaceae. The record is from RNAcentral.